GAUGAACGCUGGCGGCGUGCCUAAUACAUGCAAGUCGAGCGAACAGACGAGGAGCUUGCUCCUCUGACGUUAGCGGCGGACGGGUGAGUAACACGUGGAUAACCUACCUAUAAGACUGGGAUAACUUCGGGAAACCGGAGCUAAUACCGGAUAAUAUAUUGAACCGCAUGGUUCAAUAGUGAAAGACGGUUUUGCUGUCACUUAUAGAUGGAUCCGCGCCGCAUUAGCUAGUUGGUAAGGUAACGGCUUACCAAGGCAACGAUGCGUAGCCGACCUGAGAGGAGGAGCGGCAACAGUGGCACGGAGACACGGUGCAGAAGCCGAAGGGAGGCAGAAGGAGGGAAUAUUGAGCAAGGGGCGAAAGCCUGAAGGAGCAAGGCCGAGUGAGUGAAGAAGGUCUUAGGAUCGUAAAGCACUUGAAGUGGGGAGGAAAAAAAGUAAAAGAACAGAGGCAGGUCUGGACGGGACCAAAACAGAAAGCAAAGGCUAACGUCGUG
RNAcentral lists this ribosomal RNA (497 nucleotides) under uncultured bacterium. RNAcentral describes it as "partial 16S ribosomal RNA". It matches the Rfam family "Bacterial small subunit ribosomal RNA", at positions 28 to 507 of the family's 1533-position model. The record is from RNAcentral.